Non-coding RNA from Otolemur garnettii (small-eared galago), 125 nucleotides. NCBI's taxonomy places the organism in Eukaryota, Metazoa, Chordata, Mammalia, Primates, Galagidae. The record is from Rfam.
AAAAUGACAACAAUCAUACCUGAAGAAUGGCUCCUCUGAGUAUAACACACCCAACAGGAAUCAGGGGUCAUUGUGAUGAGGGGGACAAAACUUGUGUCCUCUCUAUGAACAUAUUACUUACAUGU